GAUGAACGCUGGCGGCGUGCCUAAUACAUGCAAGUCGAGCGAACAGACGAGGAGCUUGCUCCUCUGACGUUAGCGGCGGACGGGUGAGUAACACGUGGAUAACCUACCUAUAAGACUGGGAUAACUUCGGGAAACCGGAGCUAAUACCGGAUAAUAUAUUGAACCGCAUGGUUCAAUAGUUAAAGACGGUUUUGCUGUCACUUAUAGAUGGAUCCGCGCCGCAUUAGCUAGUUGGUAAGGUAACGGCUUACCAAGGCGACGAUGCGUAGCCGACCUGAGAGGGUGAUCGGCCACACUGGAACUGAGACACGGUCCAGACUCCUACGGGAGGCAGCAGUAGGGAAUCUUCCGCAAAGGGCGAAAGCCUGACGGAGCAACGCCGCGUGAGUGAUGAAGGUCUUCGGAUCGUAAAACUCUGUUAUUAGGGAAGAACAAAUGUGUAAGUAACUAUGCACGUCUUGACGGUACCUAAUCAGAAAGCCACGGCUAACUACGUG
RNAcentral lists this ribosomal RNA (497 nucleotides) under uncultured bacterium. Its description in RNAcentral is "partial 16S ribosomal RNA". It matches the Rfam family "Bacterial small subunit ribosomal RNA", at positions 28 to 507 of the family's 1533-position model. The record is from RNAcentral.